Molecule: unclassified non-coding RNA, 336 nt
Filed under: soil metagenome
Description: partial contains 5.8S ribosomal RNA, internal transcribed spacer 2, and large subunit ribosomal RNA
Rfam family: 5.8S ribosomal RNA (bases 1-120)
Source: RNAcentral
GAUGAAGAACGCAGCGAAAUGCGAUAAGUAAUGUGAAUUGCAGAAUUCAGUGAAUCAUCGAAUCUUUGAACGCACAUUGCGCCCGCCAGUAUUCUGACGGGCAUGCCUGUUCGAGCGUCAUUUCAACCAUCAAGCCCCAGGCUUGUGUUGGGGACCUGCGGCUGCCGCAGGCCCUGAAAACCAGUGGCGGGCUCGCUGUCACACCGGGCGUAGUAGAUUUUAUCUCGCUCAGGGCGUGCUGCGGGUUCCGGCCGUUAAAAAGCCUUUUUUACCCAAGGUUGACCUCGGAUCAGGUAGGAAGACCCGCUGAACUUAAGCAUAUCAAUAAGCGGAGGA